GUACCGUCAAUGCAAUCACCUAUUGGAUAAUUACAACUUCUUCCCAGUUGACAGAGCUUUACGACCCAAAGGCCUUCUUCACUCACGCGGCGUUGCUGCGUCAGGGUUUCCCCCAUUGCGCAAAAAUUCCUCA
RNAcentral lists this ribosomal RNA (133 nucleotides) under uncultured bacterium. Its description in RNAcentral is "partial 16S ribosomal RNA". The record is from RNAcentral.